Molecule: ribosomal RNA, 503 nt
Filed under: uncultured Lachnospiraceae bacterium
Lineage: Bacteria; Bacillati; Bacillota; Clostridia; Lachnospirales; Lachnospiraceae
Description: partial 16S ribosomal RNA
Source: RNAcentral
CACGUAGUUAGCCGGGGCUUCUUAGUCAGGUACCGUCAUUUUCUUCCCUGCUGAUAGAGCUUUACAUACCGAAAUACUUCUUCACUCACGCGGCGUCGCUGCAUCAGGGUUCCCCCCAUUGUGCAAUAUUCCCCACUGCUGCCCCCCGUAGGAGUUUGGGCCGUGUCUCAGUCCCAAUGUGGCCGGUCACCCUCUCAGGCCGGCUACUGAUCGUCGCCUUGGUGGGCCUCUACCCCGCCAACUAGCUAAUCCAGACGCGGGUCCAUCGUAUACCGUUUACGCUUUUCACACUGCUCCAUGCGAAGCUGUGCGCUUAUGCGGUAUUAGCACCUAUUUCUAAGUGUUAUCCCCCUGUAUACGGCAGGUUACCCACGCGUUACUCACCCGUCGCCACUAAAACAAAAUCACUGUUCAUUCUGUUCCCGUUCGACUUGCCAUGUGUUAGGCUACGCCGCCAGCGUUCAUCCUGACGCCAGAUCAAACGUCUCUGAGUACUCGUCCAA